Long non-coding RNA from Drosophila sulfurigaster albostrigata, 329 nucleotides. RefSeq lists it as uncharacterized. The transcript is spliced from 3 exons. The record is from RefSeq and is a predicted model, not a curated record. NCBI's taxonomy places the organism in Eukaryota, Metazoa, Arthropoda, Insecta, Diptera, Drosophilidae.
ACAUUAAAAGUUCUGCUUAAGAAGAAACUCGAAAAUAUGUAAAAUUAUUCAUGUACUAAUAAUUAAAAUUCAUAAUAUGAAGGCAUUGCAUUUGAAUUGUUAAUUGCUGGGCAAUUGAAAAGCAAUUAAAAUUAAUUUAUGAAGUCAACCAAGUCUCGCAGAACCAUUUGUUACACAUAAUUCAUGGCUCGCGAGGAUCCAGCCAGGAUUCGUAUUUAUGCUGGCAUGUCGUCUGCUUAUGAAUAUAAACCAUAUUACAACUACUUUUUGGAAUGCUCUGUGGUGAACGACGCGUUAAGCGCCCCUUUUGUAUGCAACACGCAAAAAUG